UGCUAUGUUGAAACUAUCCAAAAGACACUAGCACCCAUCUGAUCCUGACAGCUAUGCAGGAUCAGCCCUGGUUAGUACUUGAAUAGAAGACCACCAACAAAUACCAGGUGUUGUAGGUC
This 119-nucleotide ribosomal RNA is filed under the name Anolis carolinensis (green anole). The record is from RNAcentral. Lineage: Eukaryota; Metazoa; Chordata; Lepidosauria; Squamata; Anolidae.